RNAcentral lists this ribosomal RNA (647 nucleotides) under Helix pomatia (Roman snail). RNAcentral's name for it is "partial 16S ribosomal RNA". The record is from RNAcentral. Lineage: Eukaryota; Metazoa; Mollusca; Gastropoda; Stylommatophora; Helicidae.
UACCUAAACAAAUUUAAAAAGUUAAGCUUUUAAAUAACUAUUAAAGAUAUUAUCCCCUUGUAGUGUAGUUUAAUAGCUAUCUACAUAAUAACUUAAUAUAAAGUAUAAUAGUUUAUAUUUUAUAAUAUGACGUUAACAAUUUUGUUUAAUAUUUGAAAAUGUUAGUAUUAGUAAUAUUAGUAUAUGUGCUAAAGGAACUCGGCAAAAAACCACUCAACUGUUUAUCAAAAACAUAGCUAUAUGAAUUAAUAUAUAGUUAUUUCUGCUCAAUGAUUUAAAUAGCCGCAGUACUCUGACUGUGCAAAGGUAGCAUAAUCAGUUGGCUUUUAAUUAGAGUCUGGUAUGAACGAAAAUAUGGGUAGUAACUGUCUUAGCACAUUUUUUCGAACUUAUUAAACAAGUGCAAAUGCUUGUAAUUUAACAAUAGACGAGAAGACCCUAGAAACUUGGACAAGUUUUUGUUGGGGCGACAGAAUUACACUUAACUAAUCUUAUAAUACACGACGCGAUGUUGAAAGAAUAAGUUACUCUAGGGAUAACAGCAUAAUUUCAUUAGUUUGUGACCUCGAUGUUGGACUAGGUACUAUACCCUUAAGGCAAGGAUAUAUUAUGCUCUGUUCGAGCAAAAUUACCUACAUGAUCUGAGU